CAAAGGCCCCAGAGGAAGCCACGGCUAACUCUGUGCCAGCAGCCGCGGUAAUACAGAGGCGGCAAGCGUUGUUCGGAAUUAUUGGGCGUAAAGAGCACGUAGGCGGCCUUGCAAGUCAGUUGUGAAAGCCUUCCGCUUAACGGAAGAAUGCCAGCUGAUACUACAGGGCUUGAGUACGGGAGGGGAGAGUGGAACUUCUGGUGGAGCGGUGAAAUGCGUAGAUAUCAGAAGGAACGCCGGCGGCGAAAGCGACUCUCUGGCCCGAAACUGACGCUGAGUGUGCGAAAGCUAGGGGAGCAAACGGGAUUAGAUACCCCGGUAGUCCUAGCCGUAAA
This 335-nucleotide ribosomal RNA is filed under the name uncultured Planctomycetales bacterium. Its description in RNAcentral is "bacterial SSU rRNA". It matches the Rfam family "Bacterial small subunit ribosomal RNA", at positions 473 to 806 of the family's 1533-position model. Lineage: Bacteria; Pseudomonadati; Planctomycetota; Planctomycetia; Planctomycetales. The record is from RNAcentral.